RNAcentral lists this ribosomal RNA (216 nucleotides) under Glomeromycotina sp. RNAcentral describes it as "partial small subunit ribosomal RNA". The stretch from base 40 to 216 matches the Rfam family "Eukaryotic small subunit ribosomal RNA", at positions 686 to 864 of the family's 1831-position model. Lineage: Eukaryota; Fungi; Glomeromycota. The record is from RNAcentral.
GGGUCAGUAGGUUGGUCGUGCCACCGGUACGUACUGGUCUCACUGAUUCCUCCUUCCUGAAGAACCGUAAUGCCAUUAAUUUAGUGUUGCGGGGAAACAGGACUGUUACUUUGAAAAAAUUAGAGUGUUUAAAGCAAGCUAACGCUUGAAUACACUAGCAUGGAAUAAUGAAAUAGGACGAUCGAUCCUAUUUUGUUGGUUUCUAGGAUUGACGUA